RNAcentral lists this long non-coding RNA (1293 nucleotides) under Papio anubis (olive baboon). RNAcentral describes it as "lncRNA (ENSPANG00000049246.1)". The record is from RNAcentral. Lineage: Eukaryota; Metazoa; Chordata; Mammalia; Primates; Cercopithecidae.
AUUCCAGGAGGAGGCUCCUCCAGGCUCCUCAGAGGCCACACAGAGGGUCCCCAGCACAGCUUACUGCUUAGUGUCUCCUGUGCCACGGAGGAAGACAUGUGGCAGGAGUACCCAGUGCUAAUAUGUGUUCAUGUCUGUGGCGAUGCUGACCAUCCGGCUGGUUUGAACCAGGAUAAAAGUGAAGACGUCGUCUGUGAAGACCCAACUCUUUCUUUGGCUCUUCUGUGGAAUCCAUCUUUGCUCUGCUGUCCUCUGCUGCCCAGAAUCUGCAUCCCUGAGAUCCCCCAAAUCAGUACUCAUGGUGCCUUUGCAGUUGUUUGUGGAUAAGCAUAGAGUGAUGAAGAAUUUGAGUUAUCCGACAUGGAUGUUCCCAGAUGAUGUUGAAUAAGGCGCUCAUUCCAGAGGUGUCCUGCCCCAUACCGAAGAUGAAGGAAUGCUACCCAGAGAGGCCAAGAAGAAUCUGCACAGACAAGCCUUGUGUGUUCCCUGCUCAGUCUAUCACAAUUAGAUUCUUCUCUUUGUCCAGUCACGUUUCUACAUGGUUGCCAUUCUUCACUGAACCUAAACAGAAAAUCAGUUUUCCCUGGGUGUUUGGGUCUUCAUUUCUGACGGCUGCUGUGUCCUGUACAAUUUUGAUUAAAUAAAUUUAUUAUGCAUUUGAUAUGGUUUGGUAUGUCCUCACCCAAAUCUCUUCUUGAAUUAUAGUUCCCAUCAUCCCCAUGUGUCCUGAGGGACCCAGUGGGAGGUAAUGGAAUCAUGGGGGUGGUUACCUCCAUGCUAUUCUUAUGAUAGUGAGUUCUCACAAGAUCUGAUGGUUUUAUAAGGCGCGUUCCCUCCUUCUGCUUGGCACUUCUCCUCCUGCUGCCAUGUGAAGAAGGACGUGUUUGCUUCCCCUUCCACCAUGAUUGUGUUUCCUGAGGCCUCCCCAUCCAUGCUGAACUGCGAGUGAAUUAAACCUCUUUCCUUUUAAAUUACCCAGUCUUGGGUAUGUCUUCAUUAGUAGUAUGAGAACAGAUGAAUAUAGCAUUUCUCUUGUUAACCUGUUUUUUGUUGCAAGUGUUGGCUCUGACCUUUAUAAUGGAUAUGAAAAAGUAUUGCAGCUUUCUGUCUCUAUACUGGUUAAGUCUUUCUCACAUCAUGUCCCUUUGAUACCCACUCUCCUGCCUCCUUUUUCCACAUUUAAAGACCCUUGUAAUUACACUGCGCCCACCUGGAUAAUCCAGGAUUAUCUCCCUAUUUUAAGGUCAGCUGAUUAGCAACCUUAAUUCCAUCUGCUACCUUAAUUCCUCUGUG